UUUCCCCUGCAGUGUUCGUGCUUGGUCAGCAGUAUCUUUGAACCAAUGCGCUUGCGCUAUGGCUGCCGCGCUCUUGUGAUGCGGUGUGCGCGUCCCACGUGGAAGCGCCUGAAGCGUCCGGCAGGCGGCCUUCUUGAACCUAGGUUCAGGAUCUCCAGGGCCACACGGCACAGGCGGGGGAUCU
This 184-nucleotide non-coding RNA is filed under the name Burkholderiales bacterium. Its description in RNAcentral is "6S RNA". It matches the Rfam family "6S / SsrS RNA". From Rfam's summary of the family: E. coli 6S RNA was the first non coding RNA to be sequenced, but its function was unknown until recently. The record is from RNAcentral. RNAcentral also lists the same sequence under 1 other name. Lineage: Bacteria; Pseudomonadati; Pseudomonadota; Betaproteobacteria; Burkholderiales.